This is a non-coding RNA of Salmo salar (Atlantic salmon), 54 nucleotides long. Lineage: Eukaryota; Metazoa; Chordata; Actinopteri; Salmoniformes; Salmonidae. The record is from Rfam.
AAUGCACCAAUUUGUGGGUCGCUCUGGAUAAGAGCGUCUGCUAAAUGACUUAAA